This 805-nucleotide ribosomal RNA is filed under the name Dinophysis acuminata. Its description in RNAcentral is "24S ribosomal RNA". It matches the Rfam family "Eukaryotic large subunit ribosomal RNA", at positions 649 to 1466 of the family's 3401-position model. Lineage: Eukaryota; Dinophyceae; Dinophysales; Dinophysaceae. The record is from RNAcentral.
CCGUCUUGAAACACGGACCAAGGAGUCUAGCAUAUGUGCAUGCGCAUGGGCUUUACACCUGUGUGUGCAACGAAAGUGACUGCUGGGAUAAGUGCGCCACAACCCGACCAAUUGAUUGAGAAAGGUUUGAGUAUCAGCAUAUGUGUUAGGACCCGAAAUAUGGUGAACUAUGCUUGAGAAGGGCAAACUCAGGGGAAACUCUGAUGGAGGCUCGUAGCGGUACUGACGCGCAAAUCGUUCGUCAUACUUGGGUAUAGGGGCGAAAGACUAAUCGAACCAUCUAGUAGCUGGUUCCCUCUGAAGUUUCCCUCAGGCUAGCUGGAGUUGAACAGUUUUAUCAGGUAAAGCGAAUGAUUAGAGGAAUCGGGGGCGCGCCGUUCUCGACCUAUUCUCAAACUUUUAACUGGGUAAGAUCCAGUGGUUAACUUGGGUGAACUUAUUGGGGCACAUUUUUACAUCCAAGUGGGCCAUUUUUUGGUAAGCAGAACUGGCGAUGAGGGAUGAACCUAACGUAGGCCUAAGGUGCCUUAACUGCUCGCUCAUUAGAUACCAUAAAGGGUGUUGGUCCAUUUUGACAGCAGGACGGUGGUCAUGGAAGUUGAAAUCCGCUAAGGAGUGUGUAACAACUCACCUGCCGAAUGGACUAGCCCCGAAAAUGGAUGGCGCUCAAGCGGGUGACCGAUGCCCAGCCAUUGCUGCAAGUAUGCUACAACAAUGAGUAGGAGGGUGUGGUGAUUGUGAUGAAUCUCUAAAUGUGAAUUUGGGUGAAGCAAUUUCCAGUCCAAGAUCUUGGUGGUAGUAGCAA